This 529-nucleotide ribosomal RNA is filed under the name uncultured bacterium. RNAcentral describes it as "bacterial SSU rRNA". It matches the Rfam family "Bacterial small subunit ribosomal RNA", at positions 777 to 1304 of the family's 1533-position model. The record is from RNAcentral.
AAUAGAUACCCCGGUAGUCCACGCCGUAAACGAUGAGUGCUAAGUGUUAGAGGGUUUCCGCCCUUUAGUGCUGCAGCAAACGCAUUAAGCACUCCGCCUGGGGAGUACGGUCGCAAGACUGAAACUCAAAGGAAUUGACGGGGGCCCGCACAAGCGGUGGAGCAUGUGGUUUAAUUCGAAGCAACGCGAAGAACCUUACCAGGUCUUGACAUCCUUCGCCACUUCUAGAGAUAGAAGGUUCCCCUUCGGGGGACGAAGUGACAGGUGGUGCAUGGUUGUCGUCAGCUCGUGUCGUGAGAUGUUGGGUUAAGUCCCGCAACGAGCGCAACCCUUGAUCUUAGUUGCCAGCAUUCAGUUGGGCACUCUAAGGUGACUGCCGGUGACAAACCGGAGGAAGGUGGGGAUGACGUCAAAUCAUCAUGCCCCUUAUGACCUGGGCUACACACGUGCUACAAUGGAUGGUACAAAGGGCUGCAAGACUGCGAAGUCAAGCCAAUCCCAUAAAACCAUUCUCAGUUCGGAUUGCAGG